RNAcentral lists this ribosomal RNA (418 nucleotides) under bacterium enrichment culture clone ALO1_GLFRUDD03FMW9U. RNAcentral's name for it is "bacterial SSU rRNA". It matches the Rfam family "Bacterial small subunit ribosomal RNA", at positions 9 to 429 of the family's 1533-position model. The record is from RNAcentral.
GAGUUUGAUCCUGGCUCAGAUUGAACGCUGGCGGCAUGCCUUACACAUGCAAGUCGAACGGCAGCACGGGAGCUUGCUCCUGGUGGCGAGUGGCGAACGGGUGAGUAAUGCAUCGGAACGUAUCCUGGAGUGGGGGAUAACGUAGCGAAAGUUACGCUAAUACCGCGUAUUCUGUGAGCAGGAAAGCGGGGGACCUUCGGGCCUCGCGCUCUUGGAGCGGCCGAUGUCGGAUUAGCUAGUUGGUGAGGUAAAGGCUCACCAAGGCGACGAUCCGUAGCAGGUCUGAGAGGAUGAUCUGCCACACUGGAACUGAGACACGGUCCAGACUCCUACGGGAGGCAGCAGUGGGGAAUUUUGGACAAUGGGGGCAACCCUGAUCCAGCCAUGCCGCGUGAGUGAAGAAGGCCUCGGUUGUAAG